Molecule: long non-coding RNA, 728 nt
Organism: Malaclemys terrapin pileata
Lineage: Eukaryota; Metazoa; Chordata; Testudines; Emydidae
Exons: 3
Source: RefSeq, a predicted model, not a curated record
AACCUCCCUGCCCCUUCUCCUGCCCCCCUUACCCUGCUGCUCAGAACAGGGUGUUGGGCUCUGUGCGAGCCGGACACGUGGCUAAGCUCCCCAGCACAACAAAACCCGGUCCCUGGCCCUGCACAACAAAACCCGGUCCCUGGCCCGGACCGGGUUGCAGGGGAGAGCUGCCCUUGUAUCAGCACAAAGUGCUCUCGCUCCCGUUUUGCUAGCUGCAUGGCAGUAACUGCUCCCAGUUGCAAAAGGGGAGGGCUGCACUUUGUGCUGAGACACUUGCUCAGAAUGCAGGGCGGAGCUCCUCUCCAGCUGCUCUGGAGUCCAGCCCGGGACUUUCCUGCAGCCCUCCCAGCCGCUCCGGGGGAGGGGGGAAAUCCCGGACAUUGUGAGUGCUUUACAAAUUCCCCCCGGACGCUAUUUUUAGCACAAAAAGGAGGACAUGUCCGGGUAAAUCCGGACGAAUGGUAACCCUAAUAUAUAAUGGGACGUCAAAGAUUCUAAACUUCAACACAGUAUUCAAGGGUUGGACAGGAGGAUGACAAUUUCAGAGAAGUCUUACGCUGAAUACCCACAAGGAGAGCACCAAGUUAUGGCCAAGUACCAUUAAUGAAGCAGCAAUAUCUCUGCCACUGGACAAACCUCUGGAGAAAGGGUAUAAAACCAACAUUUGAAAGAUAAAGCAGAGUGGAAUUCUCAUCUCACUCUCUGAAGCCUCUCUGGGAAGGGGUAAA